AGGGUUUGAUCCUGGCUCAGAAUGAACGUUGGCGGCGUGGGUUAGGCAUGCAAGUCGUGCGAUGAAGCAGUGCUUGCACUGUGGAUUAGCGGCGCAAGGGAGAGUAACGCGUGGAUACGUGCCCCUAGGCCUGGGAUAGCUGCGGGAAACUGCAGGUAAUACCGGAUAAUGUCCCCGGACCAAAGGUGUGAUUCCGCCUAGGGAGCGGUCCGCGUCCUAUUAGCUGCACGUGAGGUAAUGGCUUACGUAUUUGGCAAUGAUGGGUAGCGGGUGUGAGAGCAUGGCCCGUCUCACUGGGACUGAGACACUGCCCAGACACCUACGGGUGGCUGCAGUCGAGAAUCUUCGGCAAUGGGCGCAAGCCUGACCGAGCGACGCCGCGUGCGGGAUGAAGGCCUUCGGGUUGUAAACCGCUGUCAGAGGGGAGUAAAUGCAUGAGGGUUCUCUCUCAUGUUUGAACUAUCCUCAGAGGAAGCGCAGGCUAAGUUCGUGCCAGCAGCCGCGGUAAGACGAACUGCGCAAACGUUAUUCGGAAUUACUGGGCUUAAAGGGUGCGUAGGCGGCUAUGCAAGUUGGGUGUGAGAUCCCACGGCUCAACCGUGGAACCGCGCCCAAAACUGCAUAGCUUGAGGGAGAUAGAGGUGAGCGGAACUACGGGGGGAGCGGUGAAAUGCGUUGAUAUCCGUAGGAACACCGGUGGCGAAAGCGGCUCACUGGGUCUCUUCUGACGCUGAGGCACGAAAGCUAGGGGAGCGAACGGGAUUAGAUACCCCGGUAGUCCUAGCUGUAAACGAUGAGCACUAGGUCGGGGGGACUCCCAUAUCCUCUCGGCCGAACAGAAAUAGUUAAGUGCUCCGCCUGGGGAGUAUGGCCGCAAGGCUGAAACUCAAAGGAAUUGACGGGGGCUCACACAAGCGGUGGAGGAUGUGGCUUAAUUCGAGGCUACGCGAAGAACCUUAUCCUGGUCUUGACAUGCACGGAUGGGCUACCUGAAAGGGAUAGUUCCUGCCUUCGGGUGAAACGUGCACAGGUGCUGCAUGGCUGUCGUCAGCUCGUGUCGUGAGAUGUCGGGUUAAGUCCCUUAACGAGCGAAACCCUUGUCACUAGUUGCCAGCAUUCAGUUGGGGACUCUAGUGAGACUGCCGGUGUUAAACCGGAGGAAGGUGGGGAUGACGUCAAGUCCUCAUGGCCUUUAUGACCAGGGCUGCACACGUCCUACAAUGGCGCAUACAGAGGGACGCGAACUCGCGAGAGCAAGCAAAUCCCAAAGAGUGCGCCCCAGUUCAGAUUGCAGGCUGCAACUCGCCUGCAUGAAGCCGGAAUCGCUAGUAAUCGCAGGUCAGCAUACUGCGGUGAAUGUGUUCCUGAGCCUUGUACACACCGCCCGUCAAGCCACGGGAGUGGGGGGUGGCCGAAGACGCCGUAGCAACCUUCGGGAGCAAAGCGUCCACGCCAAACUCCGCGACUGGGACUAAGUCGGAACAAGGUA
RNAcentral lists this ribosomal RNA (1489 nucleotides) under metagenome. Its description in RNAcentral is "bacterial SSU rRNA". It matches the Rfam family "Bacterial small subunit ribosomal RNA". The record is from RNAcentral.